RNAcentral lists this long non-coding RNA (228 nucleotides) under Homo sapiens (human). Its description in RNAcentral is "non-protein coding lnc-OR4F16-4:4". Lineage: Eukaryota; Metazoa; Chordata; Mammalia; Primates; Hominidae. The record is from RNAcentral.
GGCGCGGGUGUUCGGCUACAUCACUGGGGCGCCAUGGUGCCUGGAGCUGGGCAGUUUUCUCAUCAGAGUGGGGACUGAUGAUGAUUAUUCCCCACCUUCUAAGAGACAAAGACCAACGAGCCACCACAGCCCUCACAAUCCAGUGGAGGAGACGCAACUCAUCUGCCUCUGUCCCUCUGGGCACGCCUCAUGCCAGGUGCAUCUGUGGACAGGGGCCAUGCUCCUGGG